UAGUUGGUAAGGUAACGGCUUACCAAGGCGACGAUCAGUAGCCGACCUGAGAGGGUGAUCGGCCACAUUGGAACUGAGACACGGUCCAAACUCCUACGGGAGGCAGCAGUGGGGAAUAUUGCACAAUGGGCGAAAGCCUGAUGCAGCAACGCCGCGUGAGUGAUGAAGGCCUUCGGGUCGUAAAACUCUGUCCUCAAGGAAGAUAAUGACGGUACUUGAGGAGGAAGCCCCGGCUAACUACGUGCCAGCAGCCGCGGUAAUACGUAGGGGGCUAGCGUUAUCCGGAUUUACUGGGCGUAAAGGGGGCGUAGGCGGUCUUUCAAGUCAGGAGUGAAAGGCUACGGCUCAACCGUAGUAAGCUCUUGAAACUGGGAGACUUGAGUGCAGGAGAGGAGAGUGGAAUUCCUAGUGUAG
Molecule: ribosomal RNA, 414 nt
Filed under: Clostridioides difficile
Lineage: Bacteria; Bacillati; Bacillota; Clostridia; Peptostreptococcales; Peptostreptococcaceae
Description: bacterial SSU rRNA
Rfam family: Bacterial small subunit ribosomal RNA
Source: RNAcentral